CCGGAAGCAAGUGCAGCAGCGUGGUGUGGAAAGCUGGGGAACGAGAGUGCCGGACAUUCGGGGAUACCGCGUUUGUUGGUGCGGGGAUACGACCAUACCAGGGAGAGAGAGGAGAAGGGGGCCAUCCUGAGGUCUCUCCGUGCCAAGUUGUUCUUGAAAUUCUCCUUGUGGCACAAAUACAGAGAACUACAAAAGAAGUGUGAUAUAAAGAGGUUUAAGCCCAAUCUUUUAAAGGAGAUGAGCGAACGAUUAUGUCCAGGGGUUCCCGUUCCUACUAUAAAGAGGAGAGGACCGUGAAAAGAGAGAAAUCAUCCGCUAAAUGUGGUGAUGAUGGAGGUCUCCACCACAGAUGAAGAGGAUUCCCAAGAGCAAGCAGGACCCUCAGAGAAAGUAGUGGCCCCUCCACCACCUGAUGUCCAUAUGAUGGCUCCUAUUAAAGCUCAUGAGCCAGGACCCUCCCAGGAGCUUCAGCGUGAGGUGACUGACACACCUGAUGUGGGAGAAGAGGUGGAGGUGGAAGACGCUGGAGCCACCACAAGAACCCCCCACCACUCCAGAGGAUGUUGUAACAAACCCCCGCCAAGAGGUACUGCUGUUUUUGGGGAUUUUUUUUUUAACUUAAUCAGCAAGUACAUGAUGCCAGCAUGCGCCAAAUGCAGAGGCUGAUGGCCAAGCUGAAGGAACAGCACCUGAAACAAAAGAGGGACAUGUUGAUGGUUU
Long non-coding RNA from Bufo gargarizans (Asiatic toad), 720 nucleotides. RefSeq lists it as uncharacterized. The transcript is spliced from 4 exons. Lineage: Eukaryota; Metazoa; Chordata; Amphibia; Anura; Bufonidae. The record is from RefSeq and is a predicted model, not a curated record.